Lacerta agilis (Sand lizard) is the source of this 516-nucleotide long non-coding RNA. RefSeq lists it as uncharacterized. Lineage: Eukaryota; Metazoa; Chordata; Lepidosauria; Squamata; Lacertidae. The record is from RefSeq and is a predicted model, not a curated record. The transcript has 3 exons.
CAGGGACAAGUAUUCACUUGAUCUGUUGAGAUAUACCCGGCGGUGGAAGGUGAUGAGUCUGCUGGGUUGCUCUCUCUUUUAAAGAGCGACAGGUCUGUCAACUUGCAGAAAGUAGACUUUGAGGACCCCCAUCAUAGUCGGCUGAAUUAGGCCUUAAGAGGAAUCCCUGAUUUUGUGAAAACCAUCUUCUAAAAGGCAAACAUCUGAAAGGAGCUGAGAAGAAAGAAGAUAAUGUUCCACCAAUGUUUACAAUAGUUCAGAUAUACUGUACAGUACUAUCCUUCUUCUCUAUCUUCUUUGCAAAUAUAUGGUUCAUGCCCUAGUAAUUUCUCACCCUGACUACUGCAGUCUUCUCUUUGGUCUCCCAUUUUCUAAACUCAGCCUCCUUGCUUUUUAGUGCUUUUUAGAAUCCACUUUGCUGUUAUUCUUUUGUCACACGUUCUUUUUGUCCUGCUACUUUUUGUUUUCUUAUUUAUGCUUCCCUUCCUCUGGUGAACUACCCAGAGAGCAUUUUGU